Molecule: ribosomal RNA, 762 nt
Filed under: Hexelasma sp. 3 BKKC-2017
Lineage: Eukaryota; Metazoa; Arthropoda; Thecostraca; Balanomorpha; Bathylasmatidae
Description: partial 16S ribosomal RNA
Rfam family: Bacterial large subunit ribosomal RNA (bases 275-478)
Source: RNAcentral
AAAUUUAGUUUAGAUUUUUGAGGGGUUAUUACUCUUUUUAAAAUUUUAUAUUUUAAGGGAUAAGCUUUAAAAUUAAUUUAAAAGAAAAGUAGUUUUUGAACUUUUAGUAGGCUUGGAAUUAGCCAUGAAAUAGUGUUAUAAGAUAAAAGAAUUGGUUUAAGAUUUUGUUUUCUUUUUUGAGUAUAAAGUUAAUUAAUAAACUAUUUUAAUAUUGUAAAUAUGAUAGUAUGAGUAGAAGAAAAGAUAAAAGGUUUUUUGUAUUGAUUGGUUUAAAAUUUAUAAUAAAAGAACUCGGCAAAUAAGAUUUCCGAAUGUUUAACAAAAACAUUUCCUCUUGAGUAUGGGAGGUAAGACCUGCUCACUGAAAAAUUUAAAGAGCCGCAGUAUUUUAACUGUGCUAAGGUAGCAUAAUCAUUAGUCUUUUAAUUGGAGACUGGUAUGAAUGGUUAAACGAGAAAUCCGCUUUUUUUAUUAUAAGAUUCGAAUUUAAUUUUUUAGUGAAAAAGCUAGAAUUUUUCAGAAAGACGAGAAGACCCUAUAGAGUUUUAUAUUUUUUUAAAUUUUUUUUAAUUAGGUUUUAUAAGUAGAUAUUUAGAAAGGUAUUUUGUUGGGGCGACAUUUAGAUAAAAAAAACUCUUAAUUUUUAAAACUUUUAUAAAAGAAUAAUUUGAUCCUUUAAAAAAGAUUAAAAGAAAAAAUUACCUUAGGGAUAACAGCGUAAUCUUUUUUGAGAGUUCUUAUCGACAAAAAGGUUUGCGACCU